CCCUUAGAUGUUCUGGGCCGCACGCGCGCUCCACUGAUGCAUUCAACGAGUCUAAAACCUGCUCUGAUAGGGGUGGGUAAUCUUUUGAAUGUGCAUCGUGAUUGGGAUAGAUGAUUGCAAUUUUUCAUCUUCAACGAGGAAUGCCUAGUAAACGCAAGUCAUCAGCUUGCAUUGAUUACGUCCCUGCCCUUUGUACACACCGCCCGUCGCUCCUACCGAUUGAAUGAUCCGAUGAAUAUCAUGGAUUGAGGAUGCAAGCAGGUUCGCCUGUCUUCAUCUUCGAGAAGUGAAGUAAAUCUUAUCAUUUAGAGGAAGGAGAAGUCGUAACA
RNAcentral lists this ribosomal RNA (329 nucleotides) under uncultured eukaryote. Its description in RNAcentral is "partial 18S ribosomal RNA". It matches the Rfam family "Eukaryotic small subunit ribosomal RNA", at positions 1470 to 1796 of the family's 1831-position model. The record is from RNAcentral.